UACGUAGGGUGCAAGCGUUGUCCGGAAUUAUUGGGCGUAAAGCGCACGUAGGCGGUCCGGUAAGUCGGGAGUGAAAGCCCUUGGCUUAACCAAGGAAGUGCUUUCGAAACUACCGGGCUUGAGUACGGGAGAGGGUCGCGGAAUUCCCGGUGUAGAGGUGAAAUUCGUAGAUAUCGGGAGGAACACCAGUGGCGAAGGCGGCGACCUGGACCGAUACUGACGCUGAUGUGCGAAAGCGUGGGAGCAACAGG
Molecule: ribosomal RNA, 251 nt
Filed under: uncultured bacterium
Lineage: Bacteria
Description: partial 16S ribosomal RNA
Rfam family: Bacterial small subunit ribosomal RNA
Source: RNAcentral